GCACAAGCAGCGGAGCGUGUGGUUUAAUUCGUUGCUACACGAAGAACCUUACCUGGGUUUGACAUAUAGGUUGUAGGGAACUGAAAGGACGACCUUCGGGAGCCUAUACAGGUGUUGCAUGGCUGUCGUCAGCUCGUGUCGUGAGAUGUUCGGUUAAGUCCGCUAACGAGCGCAACCCUCGUCGUAUGUUAUAUGUGUCAUACGAGACUGCCGGUAAAAAGCCGGAGGAAGGUGAGGAUGAUGUCAAGUCAGCAUGACCUUUAUAUCCAGGGCUACACACGUGUUACAAUGGCCGGUACAGAGGGCAGCUACCUGGAGACAGGAUGCGAAUCUCGAAAGCCGGUCUCAGUUCGGAUCGGAGUCUGCAACUCGACUCCGUGAAGCUGGAUUCGCUAGUAAUCGCGCAUCAGCCAUGGCGCGGUGAAUACGUUCCCGGGCCUU
RNAcentral lists this ribosomal RNA (441 nucleotides) under uncultured Longilinea sp. Its description in RNAcentral is "bacterial SSU rRNA". It matches the Rfam family "Bacterial small subunit ribosomal RNA", at positions 923 to 1382 of the family's 1533-position model. Lineage: Bacteria; Bacillati; Chloroflexota; Anaerolineae; Anaerolineales; Anaerolineaceae. The record is from RNAcentral.